GCGGCUAGACGGAAAGACCCCGUGAACCUUUACUACAGCUUGGCACUGAACAUUGAACCUACAUGUGUAGGAUAGGUGGGAGACUUUGAAACCGCGUCGCUAGAUGUGGUGGAGUCGUCCUUGAAAUACCACCCUUGUAGUUUUGAUGUUCUAACGUUGGUCCCUGAAUCGGGAUUACGGACAGUGCCUGGUGGGUAGUUUGACUGGGGCGGUCUCCUCCCAAAGAGUAACGGAGGAGCACGAAGGUGGGCUAAACACGGUUGGACAUCGUGUGGUUAGUGCAAUGGCAUAAGCCCGCUUGACUGCGAGAAUGACAAUUCGAGCAGGUGCGAAAGCAGGUCAUAGUGAUCCGGUGGUUCUGAAUGGAAGGGCCAUCGCUCAACGGAUAAAAGGUACUCCGGGGAUAACAGGCUGAUACCGCCCAAGAGUUCAUAUCGACGGCGGUGUUUGGCACCUCGAUGUCGGCUCAUCACAUCCUGGGGCUGAAGUCGGUCCCAAGGGUAUGGCUGUUCGCCAUUUAAAGUGGUACGCGAGCUGGGUUUAGAACGUCGUGAGACAGUUCGGUCCCUAUCUGCCGUGGGCGUUGGAAAAUUGAAAGGGGCUGCUCCUAGUACGAGAGGACCGGAGUGGACGAACCUCUGGUGUUCGGGUUGUCAUGCCAAUGGCAUUGCCCGGUAGCUAAGUUCGGAAUCGAUAACCGCUGAAAGCAUCUAAGCGGGAAGCGAGCCUUGAGAUGAGUUUUCCCUGACGCUGAA
This 755-nucleotide ribosomal RNA is filed under the name Vibrio sp. ZF 223. RNAcentral's name for it is "bacterial LSU rRNA". It matches the Rfam family "Bacterial large subunit ribosomal RNA", at positions 2072 to 2824 of the family's 2925-position model. Lineage: Bacteria; Pseudomonadati; Pseudomonadota; Gammaproteobacteria; Vibrionales; Vibrionaceae. The record is from RNAcentral.